UACAGAGGUCCCAAGCGUUGUUCGGAUUCACUGGGCGUAAAGGGUGCGUAGGUGGCGAGGUAAGUCGGAUGUGAAAGCUCGGAGCUCAACUCCGAAAUGGCAUUGGAAACUACCUUGCUCGAGGGUUGGAGGGGGGACUGGAAUUCUCGGUGUAGCAGUGAAAUGCGUAGAUAUCGAGAGGAACACCAGUGGCGAAGGCGACUUCCUGGACAGACACUGACACUGAGGCACGAAAGCGUGGGGAGCAAACAGG
This 253-nucleotide ribosomal RNA is filed under the name uncultured bacterium. RNAcentral's name for it is "partial 16S ribosomal RNA". It matches the Rfam family "Bacterial small subunit ribosomal RNA", at positions 524 to 776 of the family's 1533-position model. The record is from RNAcentral.